AUGAGUCGACCUGAUGGGAUCAACAUCCCCGAUGGCAAGUUCUACCUUGGAGAUGUUGGCUAUGCAUGUCGGCUGGGUAUUCUUCCACCCUUCAGGAAACCAAGUGGGACUUUGAUGAACGCAUGCCUGAGGAGAAAGAGGUCGAGCCUAACGAUGUUGUUAGCUCUCGCCAUGGUGUGGAGGCAUUUGACAAUGAUGCUUGAAAGAACAAAAGGUUGGAGUGGGCAGAGGCAAUGUGGCUUAACAGAGGUCGGUGCAGGAUUUGAAGAAGAGGAAGAAGAAGCAGCAGCAGCAGAAGCACAGAAGAAGAGGAAGAAGAAAAAGCAGCAGCAGAAGCAGAAGAGGAAGAUGAAGAGGAAGAUGAAGCAGCAACACCGAUGA
Molecule: ribosomal RNA, 381 nt
Filed under: Triticum aestivum (bread wheat)
Lineage: Eukaryota; Viridiplantae; Streptophyta; Magnoliopsida; Poales; Poaceae
Description: partial small subunit ribosomal RNA
Source: RNAcentral